Molecule: long non-coding RNA, 667 nt
Filed under: Homo sapiens (human)
Lineage: Eukaryota; Metazoa; Chordata; Mammalia; Primates; Hominidae
Description: HSALNT0113313
Source: RNAcentral
CAUUUUUUGUCUUAUUUUCUGCUGAAAUCUGCCUCACUUUAACUUCCUUUCGUCUUUUUCCUGCAUUCUAUGCUAUGUUCACACAUAUGACCCAUCUCCUAUAAAUUAAGCCUUUCAAAUAUUUGAAGCCAGCUAUCACCAUGCUACAUUCUCUUCUUAUACCAAGGAUAAAUAUCUUUAAUAUGGAUGGACUUGGUAAAACAAUUUCAUGUCUGUACUUAUCUCAGGAUUUCUCAUGUGGAUCCACUAAGGCAGAAAGGAAGCUAUUGUUUUACAUUUGACAGAUGAAGAAACUGAGUCAGUACAGUGAAGUGCUUUUUAUUUUUUAUUUUAAUUUUUAACAUUUCCACUACUUACAGCUAUAUUUGUUUUUUUAUAGAGACAAUCUGGAGGGUACAAACUAUUUACUGUCACCUGGCAUUUCUGUUUCCAACCACAUCUCGUAUCAGCAACCUUGUACAAAUUAUGGCUUGGAUUAUAGAAAAGGUCCUCUCCAUUAGCAGAAUCUGCUAAAUUUCAAGUGCUUCAUAUAUCUUCCUGGGAGCACUUCAUAAGAGAAUGUGCUGCUUCUUUUCAUCCUCCUCUUCCUCUUCCAUCUUUUCUUUCCUUCAGUCUUGUACUGUAAUCUGGAGUUUGGCAUAGUAAAUUAGGUUAGCUUUCAGGAAGA